RNAcentral lists this transfer RNA (72 nucleotides) under Camelus bactrianus (Bactrian camel). It matches the Rfam family "tRNA". Rfam says of the family: Transfer RNA (tRNA) molecules are approximately 80 nucleotides in length. Their secondary structure includes four short double-helical elements and three loops (D, anti-codon, and T loops). RNAcentral also lists the same sequence under 2 other names. Lineage: Eukaryota; Metazoa; Chordata; Mammalia; Artiodactyla; Camelidae. The record is from Rfam by way of RNAcentral.
UGGGAACUAGCUCAGUGGGAGAGCUCGUACUUCGCAUGCACGAGGUCCUGGGUUCAAUCCCUAGGACCUCCA